GACGAACGCUGGCGGCGUGCUUAACACAUGCAAGUCGAACGGAAAGGCCCCCUUGUGGGGUACUCGAGUGGCGAACGGGUGAGUAACACGUGAGUAACCUACCCUUGACUUUGGGAUAACUUCAGGAAACUGGGGCUAAUACCGGAUAGGAGCUCCUGCUGCAUGGUGGGGGUUGGAAAGUUUCGGCGGUUGGGGAUGGACUCGCGGCUUAUCAGCUUGUUGGUGGGGUAGUGGCUCACCAAGGCUUUGACGGGUAGCCGGCCUGAGAGGGUGACCGGCCACAUUGGGACUGAGAUACGGCCCAGACUCCUACGGGAGGCAGCAGUGGGGAAUAUUGCACAAUGGGCGGAAGCCUGAUGCAGCAACGCCGCGUGCGGGAUGACGGCCUUCGGGUUGUAAACCGCUUUCGCCUGUGACGAAGCGUGAGUGACGGUAGUGGGUAAAGAAGCACCGGCUAACUACGUG
Molecule: ribosomal RNA, 465 nt
Filed under: uncultured bacterium
Lineage: Bacteria
Description: partial 16S ribosomal RNA
Rfam family: Bacterial small subunit ribosomal RNA
Source: RNAcentral